AUUAAGCAUAAAGGAUAAUAAAUUAUCCAAUGUGAUUUUCUCUCAUAAUCGACUAUUUGGACUUGUAAUCAAUUAGUUAUAUGCGGAAAAUUUUGAUGAUUUAGUCAAAGAGAAAAGGUCCUCAAAAAUAAUUUUGUGAGUGUGUGGGAGUUUCCUUAGUAACUUAUGAGUUACUUUAUCUUUUUACAACAGUCUGGUCACUCACAGAUUACGUUAAGCGCACGACUGAUCAGACGAGC
This 239-nucleotide long non-coding RNA is filed under the name Lathyrus oleraceus (garden pea). RNAcentral describes it as "Pisum sativum (pea) long non-coding RNA (PSAT_LNC018743)". Lineage: Eukaryota; Viridiplantae; Streptophyta; Magnoliopsida; Fabales; Fabaceae. The record is from RNAcentral.